UGAAAGGAGAGGUUGCCACCU
This 21-nucleotide non-coding RNA is filed under the name Arabidopsis thaliana (thale cress). The record is from RNAcentral. Lineage: Eukaryota; Viridiplantae; Streptophyta; Magnoliopsida; Brassicales; Brassicaceae.